Molecule: long non-coding RNA, 1121 nt
Organism: Astatotilapia calliptera (eastern happy)
Lineage: Eukaryota; Metazoa; Chordata; Actinopteri; Cichliformes; Cichlidae
Source: Ensembl
UGUAUGUUUAACAAGCUAAUUAAGACUCAUUUGUCCAAGCUACUACCCUGCUGUCCCUCUGUCGUGUCUCAACCUCCAACAGGAAAGUAGAAGUCCUCAUAUGACACCAGGUGCCGAGGUCCUGUCUCAACCUCCUUCAGACCAAUUGGCUCAAGGACCAAGUAUUCUGGGGGUUCCAAGCCACACGCUUUACUCAGCUGCCCUGGACAACAUGAAGGGCACCUCUGGCUCAAUCACCCUGAACAACAAAAACAUUAGCAACACUUCACCAAGAAGGGGUAAAGGCACCCAAAUACAAAAUGUUUUAGGUUAAUAUACUUGUGAUCAAAGAACAAGUUUGUUUUCAGACAUGACACUAUUCAGAGCUUUUAUCAUAAAUCAUUUCAUCUUAUUUGAUUCCCAGCAGAACACAGCACUUCAAAUGGUUCAUUCCAAGCAUCCUUAAAGGAGCAAUAAGCAAUAUCUUUUCACUGCUAGGUGUGCUGUUUUGCACUGCCUGUGAACCAAACCAAAGUCUAUGGCUGGAGAUCAACACAGAGAGAGGGAUUGUGACUUCAUGCUGUACUCCAGAUGUAAUUACACCUCUAGUUCUUCACACAGUCAUUUUUAAUUCCUUCAACCUAAGUAUGAUGAAUUGUGCUUAUUGCUCCUUUAAAGUGCUCCAGUAGAAAGCAAGGUUUAAGAACAUUUUGUAUUCACAUUAUAAACUAGAAUAUUUUCUAUCUUUUCUUGCAUUCACAUUAAGAUAUUUUCUUUUGUUUCCAUUUAUGACAGCUGGGACGGUGAGAAGCAAGUGGACAAAUGAUGAAGUGAAGGUUGCUGAGCGGCACGUUUCACUUCAUAAAAAGCUGCAAAGUACCAGGUAAAAAGGAAUGUGACUGCUGCCUCCAAGCAGAGCCGGCAGCUCUGAAAGACAGAGACUGGGUUGUCAUAAGGUACUACAGCCACAACAGGAUCAUAGCAUUAAAAGAAAGAUGCAAGAAAAAAAGAAACAAGCAAGAGAGAUACUUUGUUACUUCCACAGUUAUGUCAGUAUUGCAGUUUUCUGUAUUGCAUUGUUCUUACUCAUAAAUCUGUGGUUUAUGCUGGGUGCUUUUUGCAAUUAAAUGAUAAAAAAGGCA